GCGAAUAUCGUAUAGUGGUUAUUACACCAGCUUCCCAAGCUAGCAACGCGGGUUCGAUUCCCGUUAUUCGCU
Molecule: transfer RNA, 72 nt
Filed under: Lactovum miscens
Lineage: Bacteria; Bacillati; Bacillota; Bacilli; Lactobacillales; Streptococcaceae
Rfam family: tRNA
About the family: Transfer RNA (tRNA) molecules are approximately 80 nucleotides in length. Their secondary structure includes four short double-helical elements and three loops (D, anti-codon, and T loops). Further hydrogen bonds mediate the characteristic L-shaped molecular structure. tRNAs have two regions of fundamental functional importance: the anti-codon, which is responsible for specific mRNA codon recognition, and the 3' end, to which the tRNAs corresponding amino acid is attached (by aminoacyl-tRNA synthetases). tRNAs cope with the degeneracy of the genetic code in two manners: having more than one tRNA (with a specific anti-codon) for a particular amino acid; and 'wobble' base-pairing, i.e. permitting non-standard base-pairing at the 3rd anti-codon position.
Source: Rfam by way of RNAcentral